GGGGAUUUAGCUCAGUGGUAGAGCGCUUGCCUAGCAAGCGCAAGUGCAAGGCCCUGGGUUCGGUCCCCAGCUCCG
RNAcentral lists this transfer RNA (75 nucleotides) under Rattus norvegicus (Norway rat). It matches the Rfam family "tRNA". Rfam says of the family: Transfer RNA (tRNA) molecules are approximately 80 nucleotides in length. Their secondary structure includes four short double-helical elements and three loops (D, anti-codon, and T loops). Further hydrogen bonds mediate the characteristic L-shaped molecular structure. tRNAs have two regions of fundamental functional importance: the anti-codon, which is responsible for specific mRNA codon recognition, and the 3' end, to which the tRNAs corresponding amino acid is attached (by aminoacyl-tRNA synthetases). tRNAs cope with the degeneracy of the genetic code in two manners: having more than one tRNA (with a specific anti-codon) for a particular amino acid; and 'wobble' base-pairing, i.e. permitting non-standard base-pairing at the 3rd anti-codon position. The record is from Rfam by way of RNAcentral. Lineage: Eukaryota; Metazoa; Chordata; Mammalia; Rodentia; Muridae.